Myotis lucifugus (little brown bat) is the source of this 75-nucleotide non-coding RNA. NCBI's taxonomy places the organism in Eukaryota, Metazoa, Chordata, Mammalia, Chiroptera, Vespertilionidae. The record is from Rfam.
GGCAGUUCUCAGGUGACACACCCCAGAACCUGGCUCCCUUCUCUCUGGUUCCAGAUGUGUCACCUGAGAACUGCA